Molecule: ribosomal RNA, 492 nt
Filed under: uncultured bacterium
Lineage: Bacteria
Description: partial 16S ribosomal RNA
Rfam family: Bacterial small subunit ribosomal RNA
Source: RNAcentral
AGUGAACGCUGGCGGUAGGCCUAACACAUGCAAGUCGAACGGCAGCACAGUAAGAGCUUGCUCUUACGGGUGGCGAGUGGCGGACGGGUGAGGAAUACAUCGGAAUCUACUUUUUCGUGGGGGAUAACGUAGGGAAACUUACGCUAAUACCGCAUACGACCUACGGGUGAAAGCAGGGGAUCUUCGGACCUUGCGCGAUUGAAUGAGCCGAUGUCGGAUUAGCUAGUUGGCGGGGUAAAGGCCCACCAAGGCGACGAUCCGUAGCUGGUCUGAAAGGAUGAUCAGCCACACUGGAACUGAGACACGGUCCAGACUCCUACGGGAGGCAGCAGUGGGGAAUAUUGGACAAAGGGCGCAAGCCUGAUCCAGCCAUACCGCGUGGGUGAAGAAGGCCUUCGGGUUGUAAAGCCCUUUUGUUGGGAAAGAAAAGCAGCAGGUUAAUACCCCGCUGUUCUGACGGUACCCAAAGAAUAAGCACCGGCUAACUUCGUG